GGUUGUGGCUCAGUGGUAGAGCGUUUGCCUCUGAUGUGUGAGGCACUGAGUUCAAUCCUCAGCACCA
RNAcentral lists this transfer RNA (67 nucleotides) under Marmota marmota marmota (Alpine marmot). It matches the Rfam family "tRNA". Rfam says of the family: Transfer RNA (tRNA) molecules are approximately 80 nucleotides in length. Their secondary structure includes four short double-helical elements and three loops (D, anti-codon, and T loops). Lineage: Eukaryota; Metazoa; Chordata; Mammalia; Rodentia; Sciuridae. The record is from Rfam by way of RNAcentral. RNAcentral also lists the same sequence under 2 other names.